RNAcentral lists this transfer RNA (98 nucleotides) under Daphnia magna. It matches the Rfam family "tRNA". Rfam says of the family: Transfer RNA (tRNA) molecules are approximately 80 nucleotides in length. Their secondary structure includes four short double-helical elements and three loops (D, anti-codon, and T loops). The record is from Rfam by way of RNAcentral. Lineage: Eukaryota; Metazoa; Arthropoda; Branchiopoda; Diplostraca; Daphniidae.
GACGAUGUGACCGAGUGGUUAAGGUGAUGGACUGCUAAUCCAUUGUGCAUUAAAAAACUAAAAACUUAAACUAGAGGUUAAUUUCGAUGUCAUAGUCA